UACAGAGGGUGCGAGCGUUGUCCGGAAUCACUGGGCGUAAAGGGCGCGUAGGUGGCGAGCCAAGUCCAUGGUGAAAGCUCGAUGCUCAACAUCGAGUCGGCCACGGAUACUGGUGCGCUUGAGCACUGUAGAGGCUAAUGGAAUUCCGGGUGUAGCGGUGGAAUGCGUAGAGAUCGGAAAGAACACCAACGGCGAAAGCACUCUGCUGGGCCGACACUGACACUGAGAGACGAAAGCUAGGGGAGCGAAUGGG
This 253-nucleotide ribosomal RNA is filed under the name uncultured bacterium. RNAcentral describes it as "partial 16S ribosomal RNA". It matches the Rfam family "Bacterial small subunit ribosomal RNA", at positions 524 to 776 of the family's 1533-position model. The record is from RNAcentral.